GAGAACAACUGGGAGUAUAUUGAAGCAGAAAACUACCGGCUUCUGGCGGACUCAAUACUCGAUGACCAGGAAUCAGUGGACCUGAGGUGAAUGAAACAGAUGCUGCUGCAAGUGUUGCACGUAAGCCAAUCAUGGCACAGCACAGAAGGGUGAUUUUCUUUGGGCAAAUGCUUCAACUGGUUUAACUGGUGCAAAC
This is a long non-coding RNA of Dendrobium catenatum, 196 nucleotides long. RefSeq lists it as uncharacterized. Lineage: Eukaryota; Viridiplantae; Streptophyta; Magnoliopsida; Asparagales; Orchidaceae. The transcript has 3 exons. The record is from RefSeq and is a predicted model, not a curated record.